Molecule: long non-coding RNA, 2330 nt
Filed under: Sus scrofa (pig)
Lineage: Eukaryota; Metazoa; Chordata; Mammalia; Artiodactyla; Suidae
Description: lncRNA (ENSSSCG00055024134.1)
Rfam family: tRNA (bases 1631-1702)
Source: RNAcentral
CAUUUAACUCCCACCAUGCAAACACCCAUUAAUGGCCAAUGUCUCCACAUUUCUUUGAUCAUACAGUCCAGUGGGGAGGGGGGAAGGGCAUCCAUGCCUGACUCCUUCAGGUUUACCUAGAUAGAAACACGCACUGUUUAACGAAUCCGACUAGGAACCAUGAGGUUGUAGGUUCGAUCCCUGGCCUUGCUCAAUGGGUUAAGGAUCUGGCGUUGCUGUGAGCUGUGGUGUAGGUUGCAGACGCGGCUUGGAUCCUGCGUUGCUGUGGCUCUGGUGCAGGCCAGCAGCUACAGCUCUGAUCAGACCCCUAGCCUGAGAACCUCCAUAUGCCACAGAAAGUGGCCCUAGAAAAGACAAAAAAUAAAUAAAUAAUAAAAAAUAAAAAAGAAGUCAAUGACCUACAGGGUCAAAAUCAUAGCCUUUAGCAGGAGCCCUUAAGAUUCUAUUAACAGGCUCUUGCCUGUUUGUUUGUUUUUCCUUUUCUUUUUUUUUUUUUUAUGGCCGCACCUUCGGCAUAUGGAAGUUCCCAGGCUAGGGGGUCGAAUUGGAACUGCAGCUGAGGUCUAUGCCACAGCCAUGGCAAUGCUGAAUCCAAGCUGCAUCUGCAACCUACAUGAAGCUUGCUGCAACCCCGGAUCCUUAACCCCCUGAGCAAGGCCAGGGAUAGAACCCGCAUCCUCAUGGACACUGUGUUGGGUUCUUAACCUGCUGAGCCACCACAGGAGCUCCAAUCUUGCCUGUGUCUCAUUUCCUGUCGAUUCCCCACAGGUCUGAGUUCUAGCUGUGGUCAACAUCCUGCAUCUGCUGGACCUCCUCUUCCUUUAGUGUACCUGUUACGGCUUCGCCUAGAAUGCCCUUUCUCCCAUGAAUGUUUUCAGACCAGUCCCUCCAGCGUUAUUUCCUGGGGGAAGCCUUACUCUGUCACCUCCAACCUGCAUAUAUCGGAUUAGGUCUCUGUCCCUACCUGGGUCCCCAAAGCAGCCUCUGAACAACUCAGUUACCACAUUCACCAUAUUAUAUUGAAGUAAUUUGUUUAUGUUUGUUUUCCCAUUAAGACUAUGAGCUCCUUGAGGCUGUGAUUUGUAGCUUAUUAAUCUUUGUGUCCUAGGACCAUAAUAACAUUUUGAUAGAAGAAAUAAAAGUGGAGUUCUCUGUGGUUCAGCAAGUUAAGGAUCCAGUGUUGUCACUGCAGCAGCUUGGGUCCCUUGUGUGGCAAGCCUUUGAUACCUAGCCUGGGAACUUCCACAUGCCUAGGGUGUGGCCAAAUUAAAAGAAAGAAAUGGAACCUAAUACAGCAUUGUAAGUCAACCACAUUCCAAAAAAAGUUUUUUAAAAAUGAAUUUAACAGGAGUUCCCAUUGUGUCACAGCAGGAAUGAAUCUGACUAGGAACCAUGAGUUUGCAGGUUCGAUCGCUGGUCGCGAUCAGUGGGUUAAGGGUCCAGCGUUGCCAUGAGCUGUGGUGUAGGUCGAAGACGCAGCUCAGAUUCUGAGUUGCUGUGGCUGUGGUGUAGACCAGCCUCUGUAGCUCCAGUUAGACCCCUAGCCUGGGAACGUCCCUAUGUCGAGGGUGCGGCCUUAAAAAGACAAAAAAAAGAAAGAAAAAUAAAUUUAACAAAAGAAGAAAAGAGUUCUCUGGUGGCCUAAUGGUUAGGACUUGGUGCUUUUACCACUAUGGCCCAGGUUCAGUCCCUGGUCUGGGAACUGAGAUCCCACAGCUGCUGCACACUGCGGCCAAAAAAAAUUGGUUUUUUUUUGCUUUUUAGGGCCACACAUUUGGCGUAUGGAAGUUUACAGUCUAGGGGUCAAAUCAGAGUUACAGCUGACAGCCUACACCACAGCCACAGCAACACCAGACCUAAGCCAAGUCUGCAACCUGUACCACAGCUCACGGCAACGCCGGAUCGUUAACCCACUGAGCAAGGGCAGGGACCGAACCCUCAACCUCGUGGUUCCUAGUCAGAUUCACUAACCACUGCGCCACAACGGGAACUCCCACAAAAUUUUUUUUUAAAAAGAGGAAUAUACCACCUCAAAUAUAUGCCAACUGGCAUAUGGAUUAUUUUGAGACAAAGGCAUUUGAGACCAACAGAUGCAAAAAGACUUCUUGGAGUUCCCAUUGUGGUUCAGUUGGAAUGAACCUGACUAGCAUCCAUGAGGAUUCAGAUUUGAUCCCUGGCCUCACUCAGUUAAGGAUCUGGCUUGCUGUGAGCGGCUCUGUAGGUCACAGACAAGGCUCAGAUCUGGUGUUGCUGUGGCUGUGAUGUAGGCUGGCAGCUGUAGCUCUUAUUCAACCCCUAGCCUGGAAACUUCCAUAUGCCGCUCCUACAGU